ACCUUCCUGAGGUGACAUGUAUAAACCCCAUGCUUUGUAGAUGGGGUAGCAGAAAAGUCAGAACACAGUUAACUGACGUACUCGGAAUGUAACAGUAUAAGUUUUUCCACAAUGGCAAUUGAUUGUAGAUCUCUGGGCUCUAAGGAUGUAGACAUAACAUUCCAAAGAAGGUGUCCUGUGAACCUGAAAUGUUAACUGAAAUGGCAUGCAUGCAACUACAGGGGGAAAAAGAAACACUGUUCUAUAUCAACAACAUGAUAUAAGGGAAACCUUUGACCAUAUGAAUGAUGUUGACAUUAUUGUAUCUUGAACACAGUUUCUCAAGCAGAACCCCACGUCAAUACAAGCAAAAGUAUCAUCAUCAGUCUGAUGAGGGCAAAUGGGCAGAGGAGGCUAAGAGUGUGACAGGUCAUGGCA
Molecule: long non-coding RNA, 417 nt
Filed under: Bos taurus (domestic cattle)
Lineage: Eukaryota; Metazoa; Chordata; Mammalia; Artiodactyla; Bovidae
Description: long non-coding RNA NONBTAT026453
Source: RNAcentral